This 482-nucleotide ribosomal RNA is filed under the name uncultured bacterium. RNAcentral's name for it is "bacterial SSU rRNA". It matches the Rfam family "Bacterial small subunit ribosomal RNA", at positions 29 to 491 of the family's 1533-position model. The record is from RNAcentral.
AACGAACGUUGGCGGCGUGGAUGAGGCAUGCAAGUCGAACGUGAAAGCCGCAAGGUGAGUAGCGUGGCGGACGGGCGAGUAACACGUAAUCAAGCUGCCUGCGAGACGGAGAUAACUUCGGGAAACCGAAGCUAAGACCCGAUGGUCUACCGAGACUGCAUGGUUUUGGUAGUAAAUGGGCGGGAUCCUUCGGGAUCGCCUGCUCGCAGAGGUGAUUGCGGCCCAUCAGCUAGUUGGUAGGGUAAUGGCCUACCAAGGCAACGACGGGUAGCCGGCCUAAGAGGGUGGUCGGCCGCACUGGGACUGAGACACUGCCCAGACUCCUACGGGAGGCUGCAGUCGAGAAUCUUCCGCAAUGGGCGAAAGCCUGACGGAGCGACGCCGCGUGGAGGACGAAGGCCUCGGUUGUAACUACUGUCACGAGUUAAGAAGGACGCGAUGCGCGAACAGCGCAGGCGUUGACGUAAGACUCGAGAGGAAGC